AACGAACGCUGGCGGCAUGCCUAACACAUGCAAGUCGAACGAGACCUUCCUGUCUAUUUGCGCACGUCUGCGUACCGCGUGGUAACCUGCCCUUAGGUUCGGAAUCCCUCCCCUAAAGGGGUGCUCAUACCGCAUAAUCUCUUCCGACCAAAGAUGUAUGGCUUUUGGAUGGGCCCGCGUUGGAUUCGCUAGUUGGUAGUGUAAAAGCAUACCAAGGAGAGGAUCCAUAGCUGGUCGGUGAGGAUGACCAUCCACGCUGGAACUGAGACACGGACCAGACUGGGACGGAAGGGAGGAGUGGGGAAUAUUGGAGAAGGGGCGAAAGCCUGAUAAAGCAAUGCCGGGGGAGUGAUGAAGGGCGUAGGGUUGUAAAGCUGUUUUAGCCGGGAUGAUAAUGACAGUACCGGGAGAAUAAGCACCGGCUAACUACGUG
This 433-nucleotide ribosomal RNA is filed under the name uncultured bacterium. RNAcentral describes it as "partial 16S ribosomal RNA". It matches the Rfam family "Bacterial small subunit ribosomal RNA", at positions 29 to 507 of the family's 1533-position model. The record is from RNAcentral.